UACGUAGGGUCCGAGCGUUGUCCGGAAUUACUGGGCGUAAAGAGCUCGUAGGCGGUUUGUCGCGUCUGCUGUGAAAACGCGAGGCUCAACCUCGCGCCUGCAGUGGGUACGGGCAGACUAGAGUGCGGUAGGGGAGAUUGGAAUUCCUGGUGUAGCGGUGGAAUGCGCAGAUAUCAGGAGGAACACCAACAGCGAAGGCAGAUCUCUGGGCCGUAACUGACGCUGAGGAGCGAAAGCGUGGGGAGCGAACAGG
This 253-nucleotide ribosomal RNA is filed under the name uncultured bacterium. Its description in RNAcentral is "partial 16S ribosomal RNA". It matches the Rfam family "Bacterial small subunit ribosomal RNA", at positions 524 to 776 of the family's 1533-position model. The record is from RNAcentral.